AGCCGACACAUCUCUACUCCUAAUGAAGCAGUUGGUAGCCUGAUACUCCGAUUUUAUUUUCAUUUGAUUUUUUGUCGUCCCACCUCGCACCACCCCCACUCAACUCCUGGUUUUUCUCCAUCCACCGAUUUGUUUCCAAACCGAAACCCCUCCAUCGAUUUUUCCCCGAACAGAAACCCCCUCUCGUCCUGUCAUCUCUCGGUCUCCAAAAAACUCACCCUCGGACGGCUAGGGUUCCAUCCGCCUUUGCCUCACCUGCAACUGCAACAACCCAAUCUCCUCGCCCCACGUGAUUCCCGGGGUGCCGUUCUUACGGCGGCGGACGGAGACUCCGAUGCGGAGGCGCGCAAGGGGGAAGCGGACGAGCGAAGGCCAUGGCUGGGGAGAAAGUCGUGCGCCGCCAUAGGGACAGGAGCAUUAGCGCCGGAUCCAGUUUUACCAUUGUUCCCAUAUGGCCGCAAGCAACCAAGACAACGGAAGCUAGCUAGCUCAGUGUGGCGCCGCUGAGGACAACGCCCAGCUGCUACGAGGUGAUCCGCACAUAGGCGUCACGGACGGAACAGCAGGAGCAGCACUGACAGCUAUUGCCCUACUGCAGUGAUGCGGGCCAGAGCGAGCUGGGAUGCAUGUGGCGACGAGAGGAUGUAUAUGUCUACUCCUUCGUCUUCAACAUGUCGAUUACAUGUGAUUUUUUUUCUUUUCCCUUUUUACUUUUUAUUACACAUAUGGAUAAAGAUUUUAGGUUGUGGCCUCGCUUUUCAUUUAAUGCUCAGGUGUGUCCUCUUGCAAUGCAAUAUUAUACAUAUUGGCAGCUUCUAUUUUUGAUGUGUGCUUUACUCUUCAUUACCAUCCGGUAGGAGUAGAGAUGUACCACAAAAUGUGUUCAUCCAGUAGCUGAUGGUCUGGUCAUUCUUCCCCAAGGUGUGGAUCUAUUUGGACUUUUUGCAGCUAUGCUUGUGCUUGGUUUUACUGAUUAUGAGACAUCUCCGUAUGAUUUUGGUUAUCCGGUCAUGUUUUCCUGCUGUAUAAGCUUUGUCAGUUCUUGACAUCUUCGUCGUUUUAGCCAAUUCGGUGUUCUGUAUGUUAACUUAUCCAUAUCCUCAUCCUAAGUUCAUAUGACAAGUGCCUGACAGAAUUGUGCCUAGGAAGCGGACCCUAAAAUUCUACAAGAGUCGAGCACUGCUACUACAUGCCCUUUUAAAGAAACAUGUUGUUGAACUAACAAAAUUUGUCUAUUGGGUUUCCAAUAGGUUAGAGACCGAUCUUUAAAAUCUAAGGAGGAGAGUCAAUUAUCAUGCAUUAUAGAUCCAAUUCUCAAAAUGGAUUGAUUGCUUGUCCAAAGAAUGAGAGCCAACGGUGGACGCUUCAUUUCUCUUCACCUAAGGUAUUAAUUAUUUCAAUGAAAUUAUAUGGUUGCUAUGCAGUACAAGUGAAUUUUCUUCACACACAUAAGCCAUGCCAUAUUUUAGCCUGACAUGCUCACCUUGUUGGGAUGCUACUUUGGGGGUGGCAAAUCGAGUUAAUGAACUAGGUGAAAUAUGUAAGAGCUGAAAAACACUGUUGUAAGAGAUCAAUACUCAUUCGCGGUCAUUAGAAGUAUGGUCAUCUCAGGUCUUUAAAGUUUCACCGUUACAGUGAAACUUGUGAGCAGGAAAGCAACACUGAUAGAGAACACCGGCAUUGCAAAUACCCUCGUAACAAUUGAAGGAGUAGGCUUCAUGAUCAGGGCAUUGGGGUUUGGGAAGGACACCCAUAUCUUGCAUCGGGGGAUGUAUAUGGAGCAUCAGAGACAUAAGCACCUGGGAUAGACAUUAGCUCCGAGGCCAUCUUUCGUCCUAAGACAUUAGUCAUACAUAAGUUACAUUCAGAUAAAUAUUUUACUUUUCCUAGGGACAGAACUACGAAACCUUUAGUCAUGUGAUCAAAGUAGAUAUCGCCUUAAUAUUAAAGUCAAUAAGAAAUCAAAUAUUACUAUUCAUACAUUUUGUUAUGAUGUCACAAUGAGGACCAUAUCACUGUUGCUGGAUCAAGGUUGUCGGUCGGCCCGGCUGAUGAGGGGCACCGAAUGAAGAUGAGAGAGACAUCGACAAUGGAGGUGUGUGUCCAAUCAUUCUCUCAUAUCUGUAGACAUGGAAGGCCUCACUGGGAAAGCUGCUUGAGGGGGCAUGCUACCAGGGGGUUUGCGCUCAAAUUGGUUGGAUGUGGUUUGUCGUUAAUUGGUCGUGGGGAAAAGUUGUGUGCGAGGUGUCCACUGAAGGAACUUUGUUUGGGCACGUGGUCGUGAUUGUCGAUUCACAGUACUUAUGUGCUACAAUUAAAUUUGUUCAUCGUAAGUAACCUCUAAUAGUCCAAUAAUUCUUAUCUUUAGAUCUUUCUGAGCCAUGUACGGACAUUACCGUGAAUAUGAUCAAUGUAGCAUGUAUAGCAAUAAAAUUGGAGAAG
Aegilops tauschii subsp. strangulata is the source of this 2442-nucleotide non-coding RNA. The record is from RefSeq and is a predicted model, not a curated record. Lineage: Eukaryota; Viridiplantae; Streptophyta; Magnoliopsida; Poales; Poaceae.